UCCCUCACUCUCUGCCUCAUUUUCUC
This 26-nucleotide non-coding RNA is filed under the name Homo sapiens (human). The record is from RNAcentral. Lineage: Eukaryota; Metazoa; Chordata; Mammalia; Primates; Hominidae.